RNAcentral lists this ribosomal RNA (482 nucleotides) under uncultured bacterium. RNAcentral's name for it is "partial 16S ribosomal RNA". It matches the Rfam family "Bacterial small subunit ribosomal RNA", at positions 30 to 507 of the family's 1533-position model. The record is from RNAcentral.
AUUGAACGCUGGCGGCAUGCUUUACACAUGCAAGUCGAACGGUAACAGGCCGCAAGGUGCUGACGAGUGGCGGACGGGUGAGUAAUGCAUCGGAACGUGCCCAGUCGUGGGGGAUAACUACUCGAAAGAGGAGCUAAUACCGCAUACGAUCUAUGGAUGAAAGCGGGGGACCGUAAGGCCUCGAGCGAGUGUAGCGGCCGAUGUCAGAUUAGGUAGUUGGUGGGGUAAAGGCUCACCAAGCCAACGAUUUGUAGCUGGUCUGAGAGGACGACCAGCCACACUGGGACUGAGACACGGCCCAGACUCCUACGGGAGGCAGCAGUGGGGAAUUUUGGACAAUGGGCGCAAGCCUGAUCCAGCAAUGCCGCGUGCAGGAAGAAGGCCUUCGGGUUGUAAACUGCUUUUGUACGGAACGAAACGGCUCUGGUCAAUACCCGGGGCUAAUGACGGUACCGUAAGAAUAAGCACCGGCUAACUACGUG